Molecule: ribosomal RNA, 520 nt
Filed under: uncultured bacterium
Lineage: Bacteria
Description: bacterial SSU rRNA
Rfam family: Bacterial small subunit ribosomal RNA
Source: RNAcentral
AGGACGAACGCUGGCGGCGUGCCUAAUACAUGCAAGUCGAACGGUCUUUCUAUGGAAGCUUGCUUCCACUGAGAAGAUAGUGGCGAACGGGUGAGUAACACGUGGGUAACCUGCCCAUAAGAGGGGGAUAACAUCCGGAAACGGGUGCUAAUACCGCAUAGUUUUCUUGAUUGCAUGAUUGAGAAGGAAAGACGGCCUUUGUGCUGUCGCUUAUGGGAUGGACCCGCGGCGUAUUAGUUAGUUGGUGAGGUAACGGCUCACCAAGACGAUGAUACGUAGCCGACCUGAGAGGGUGAUCGGCCACAUUGGGACUGAGACACGGCCCAAACUCCUACGGGAGGCAGCAGUAGGGAAUCUUCCGCAAUGGACGAAAGUCUGACGGAGCAACGCCGCGUGAGUGAAGAAAAGGUUUUCGGAUCGUAAAACUCUGUUGUCAGAGAAGAACAAGUUGGAGAGUAACUGCUCCAGCCUUGACGGUAUCUGACCAGAAAGCCACGGCUAACUACGUGCCAGCCGCAGC